Molecule: long non-coding RNA, 145 nt
Organism: Cebus imitator (Panamanian white-faced capuchin)
Lineage: Eukaryota; Metazoa; Chordata; Mammalia; Primates; Cebidae
Exons: 4
Source: RefSeq, a predicted model, not a curated record
AGUCUAGUGUGGCUGGAGGGAAGUGAGUGAGGGGAAGAGAGGUAGAAGAUGAGGUUAGAGAGCUCAGAGGGUUUGUGAUACCAGAUCUGGCUUCUUUGGAUCAAGAGCCAAACAAACACGCCAUGCAAGAAGGCCCUCACCAGAU